Molecule: ribosomal RNA, 253 nt
Filed under: uncultured bacterium
Lineage: Bacteria
Description: partial 16S ribosomal RNA
Rfam family: Bacterial small subunit ribosomal RNA
Source: RNAcentral
UACGAAGGGUGCAAACGUUGCUCGGAAUUAUUGGGCGUAAAGCGCACGUAGGCGGCUUGGCAAGUCGGAUGUGAAAUCCCUCGGCUCAACCAAGGAAGUGCAUCCGAAACUGCCGAGCUUGAGUACUUAAGAGGAUCGCGGAAUUCCCGGUGUAGAGGUGAAAUUCGUAGAUAUCAGGAGGAACACCGAUGGCGAAGGCAGAUCUCUGGGCCGCAACUGACGCUGAGGAGCGAAAGCAUGGGGAGCGAACAGG